This 484-nucleotide ribosomal RNA is filed under the name uncultured bacterium. Its description in RNAcentral is "partial 16S ribosomal RNA". It matches the Rfam family "Bacterial small subunit ribosomal RNA", at positions 30 to 507 of the family's 1533-position model. The record is from RNAcentral.
AUUGAACGCUGGCGGCAGGCCUAACACAUGCAAGUCGAGCGGAUGAAGGGAGCUUGCUCCUGGAUUCAGCGGCGGACGGGUGAGUAAUGCCUAGGAAUCUGCCUGGUAGUGGGGGAUAACGUCCGGAAACGGGCGCUAAUACCGCAUACGUCCUGAGGGAGAAAGUGGGGGAUCUUCGGACCUCACGCUAUCGGAUGAGCCUAGGUCGGAUUAGCUAGUUGGUGGGGUAAAGGCCUACCAAGGCGACGAUCCGUAACUGGUCUGAGAGGAUGAUCAGUCACACUGGAACUGAGACACGGUCCAGACUCCUACGGGAGGCAGCAGUGGGGAAUAUUGGACAAUGGGCGAAAGCCUGAUCCAGCCAUGCCGCGUGUGUGAAGAAGGUCUUCGGAUUGUAAAGCACUUUAAGUUGGGAGGAAGGGCAGUAAGUUAAUACCUUGCUGUUUUGACGUUACCAACGGAAUAAGCACCGGCUAACUUCGUG